Lagenorhynchus albirostris (white-beaked dolphin) is the source of this 3430-nucleotide long non-coding RNA. RefSeq lists it as uncharacterized. The record is from RefSeq and is a predicted model, not a curated record. Lineage: Eukaryota; Metazoa; Chordata; Mammalia; Artiodactyla; Delphinidae. The transcript has 4 exons.
GGCUGUGAGGGUGGACGUUCUUUAGACCUGGUGCGUUUCACUCAUUUCCAGCACCUCCCAGGCCCCUGGGAGCACCCGAGCCUUUGACCUCUGGGUGAGGGUCUAGGACUUCAGGGGAGGCCCGCAGCAUCCUCUCAGAUUAGUGUUCUAGGGCAGGGCUUCUCAAAUUUUAACGUGCACACAAAUCCCUAGCGAUCUUGUUAAAUUCUGAUUUCUUAGAUCUGGAUUGGGCCUUGAGUGAGUGUUGCUAAUAAGUUCCCAGGUGGUCUGGGACUGCACUGUGAGGCGCAGGGUAAGGUGUUGGGGUCUCUGGCUAUGCCAGUUAUUUCCUAUGCCAGGAUUCAGGUUUGCAUGCCUAAUCCUCAGCGCCUGUCAGCUCCCCUCCAUCCCCCAGCUUCUGGGGUUCAGCACCUUCCAUGCUCCUGCCCUGGGAAUUCACCUGUAGUUCCCGCAGGCACUGCCCUUCCAGCUGGAGAUGUGCAUCACCCACGCACCAGGCCAGACUGAUGUGGAAUGAGGGGUCCUGCAGAGGAACGGCGGGGAGACAGGCGGUCACCUGGAGGUCGUGGCAGGCUCAGACAUCAAAGCAGCUCUGUGACAGAGUUGUCACCGUAUCCCUGCUGCAUCCCUGACCUGAUUCAUGGGAGACUAGAUCCUCAGUGUUGACCCCAAGCACCCUCCACAGACAGAUAAAAUAGCCCUGGAUUGGUCCCUGCUAUGGACUGAAUUGUGUCCCGCAAAUUCAUAUAUUGAAGCCUUAACCCCCACUGUGAUGGUAUUUGGAGAAGGGGCCUUUGGGAGGUAAUUAGGUUUAGAUGAGGUCCUAAAGGUGGGGCCCUCAUGAUGGGAUUAGUGCCCAUAUAAGAGAUGGCAGAGAGCUGCUUCCUCUCUCUUUCCAUCAUGUGAGGACACAGUGAGAAGAUGGCCAUCUACAAGCCAGGAAGAGAGGCCUCAACAGAAACUGACCGUGAUGGCACCUUGGUUUUGGACGUCUAGCCUCCAGAACUGUGAGAAAAAUGUGAGAUCCCAUAGAGCAGAGACUAUGCCGACCUUUUCACUGCUGAUCUGUAGUGUACAGCAAGUGCCUGGCACCGGGAGGUGUUUAACAAGUUUGUGCAGCAUACAAUGAAUGAAUGAAUGAGCGAAUGAGUACUCUUCUUAGAGGUGCUGAGAGCAGAAGGCAGCUCAGAUCCAGUGAGUGGAUCUGACAGGGAGGCUUGCUUUGAAGCCUUGAUAACAACAGUUUCUUCUUAUGUUCAUCUCAUCCUUGAAUGCUUUUAUAAAACUUGUUUCGUUCAUCUGAGCUUCACAACUGCCCAAUGAUGGAUGCUUGGAAAUGGGACAGGAUGUGAUGGAUGAUGUGACAGCUUGGAAAUGGCAGGUCACAGAGGUUGAAGGUUAACAAAAACCAAUUCUGAUCCAGUCUAAGCAACAAGAACAUUUCCGUGUGCCUGGGCUGAGCUUGGGGAUCCUCAUACAAGUCUGUGAGGCAGGUGCUACAAUGACACCCAUUUUACAGACACAGAAACUGAAGCUUGGUGAGGCUGAAUUUGGUGAGUCACAAUUUGAACUUCAAUCUGCCUGAUUCCAGAGCCCUUGCUCUCACCUGAUGCUUUAGUGAGGGGUCUCUGUUGGUGUGAGAUUGCCGCAGAAAUACCGUCACCCACCUCUCAGAUCAGUUACACAGGGACCAUCAAAUUCUGCCAGCUACACAUCAGGGAUCUGUGUAACACCUCAUUAGAAGAAAGGACUCUGCAAAUAAGACCAGGAGUAGAAAACCACCACCUGGAUGGCUUCUUAGGCUCCUACUGGAACCAACAUUCAGAGGAUCCAGAGGAGGAUUUCUGGGCUCUCUCUCUCCUGCUCAGUCAUUCAACAAACACCCAUUUGAUGCCUAUAGUGAGCAAAGCACCUGGACAAAAGCUGUGGGGUAAUUCAGAGAGCAGCCGCAUUCCUGGCCUGCAGGAACUUGGGCUCCAAGCGGGAGAUGGGACAUGGGGAUGACUGAAUAUGGAUAUGAGGAUGAGUGGAACGAGCACUGGGGUGUAGACAAGCACAGGACAGCAGGGUCCCUGGGCCUGAAGAAUUCUGGAGGAGAUACCAAUUGGGACAGCCUCAGUGAAGGAGCAGUGCUUUGAUCUGGCCAAGUCUCGAAGGAGGGGCAUUUCUAGUGGAAAGAAGAGGUAUGAAAUAGUCAAGGGAAAAGAAGCCUAGGCUGGCAGAUAAAACCAGAGUGGGGGUGAGCUCUGAUCGUUCGGCAAGUGCCACAUUGAGGGUAUGCGUGAUCUCAUUCACUCUCACAAGUCCCCCUCUGAGGGAGCCACCACCACUCCCCUGACCCGCACACAGGUAAGGCUCGGAGGCUUCCAGAGCUUACGUGGCACGCACAAGGGCACAUGGGACGAAGCGCGCAGCAGGCGGCUCUGGGAGAUGUUUGGUGUGCUAACCUUUAGGUUUGCCUGCUUGAAGGGGUAGUGCAUCCCACAGGUCCAUCCCCACAAGAGCUCAGGACAGGAAGAGGAGCCUUGAAGGGGAGGGAGAUGAGGGGCAGAGGGAAGCACUGGGCACUCACCUCUGGAAGGAGGCCACGCGGUCUUUCAGAGCCUGCACGAAGGGGAGGAUCCAGUGAUGGCGCAGAACCACGCUCUGGGACAGGCUGAGGUGGAAGGCCUCCAUCCUUACCAGCCGGGGGACGUAUGUCUGUGCGUGGGGCAGCAGCACGUCAAGCAGGUCCAGGAACUCCUCCCUGGCUUCAUCUGGAGGGGAGAAGUGGAGAGGGUGGGCCAUUCUCUUAGCCAGGGUGGCAUGGCUGGAUGAAGCCCAGAAGGCGGAGAAAGGCUUUUGAGAGUAGCCUAUGUCUAUGUAUUUCGAAUAAUACUUUAAUAUGCAUUUAUGGCUACAGAAGUAACACAUACAUGCUCUUUGAAAAGAAUUCAAGUGAGAAAAGAAAUAUGUGACAGAGAAAGUAGGGGCCCCUGAUAUCCUACCACGUACAGCAGUGGUCUCCAAACUACUGUGAUUGCACAGGCCCUUAGUCAACCAAGCUUGCCCACAUACCCACAAUAAAUGUGUAUUUAUUUCUAAAUUACAAACAUGUGCUACACUGCAAAAUUGUGUGUGUUAUAAAAUGUACACUUGGAACAACAGAAAUUUUAAAAGAUGAGAUAAAGAGAAACACAUUAAAAGGUUUUAAUACUUUUCUCUCUAAUGGAUCAUCUUGAUCCCGUCCCCAGGCACAUACAGCCCACUUUCAAGAUACUACCCUAGAGAUAAAGGCUGUCAAAUGUGAUGCCUAUUUCCCCAGCCUUUUCUCAGUGCAUGUACUAACGUAUAUAUCUUAUUUGUUAAAAAAGAUGAGGGCAUACCAGUUCUUCCAUUGGCUUUCUCCAUACAACACUACAUGUUGGACAGCCUUCCUCUCAUUACAUAA